GACGAACGCUGGCGGCGUGCUUAACACAUGCAAGUCGAACGGAAAGGCCCUGCUUUUGUGGGGUGCUCGAGUGGCGAACGGGUGAGUAACACGUGAGUAACCUGCCCUUGACUUUGGGAUAACUUCAGGAAACUGGGGCUAAUACCGGAUAGGAGCUCCUGCUGCAUGGUGGGGGUUGGAAAGUUUCGGCGGUUGUGGAUGGACUCGCGGCUUAUCAGCUUGAUGGUGGGGUAGUGGCUUACCAAGGGUUUGACGGGUAGCCGGCAUGAGAGGGUGACCGGCCACAUUGGGACUGAGAGACGGCGCAGACUCCUACGGGAGGCAGCAGUGGGGAAUAUUGCACAAUGGGCGGAAGCCUGAUGCAGCAACGCCGCGUGCGGGAUGACGGCCUUCGGGUUGUAAACCGCUUUCGCCUGUGACGAAGCGUGAGUGACGGUAAUGGGUAAAGAAGCCCCGGCUAACUACGUG
This 468-nucleotide ribosomal RNA is filed under the name uncultured bacterium. RNAcentral describes it as "partial 16S ribosomal RNA". It matches the Rfam family "Bacterial small subunit ribosomal RNA", at positions 28 to 507 of the family's 1533-position model. The record is from RNAcentral.